RNAcentral lists this ribosomal RNA (372 nucleotides) under uncultured Glomeromycotina. Its description in RNAcentral is "SSU rRNA". It matches the Rfam family "Eukaryotic small subunit ribosomal RNA", at positions 569 to 950 of the family's 1831-position model. Lineage: Eukaryota; Fungi; Glomeromycota. The record is from RNAcentral.
AGCAGCCGCGGUAAUUCCAGCUCCAAUAGCGUAUAUUAAAGUUGUUGCAGUUAAAAGCUCGUAGUUGAAUUUCGGGAUCAAUUUAUUGGUCGUGCAAUAGUACGUACUGGUAUUAUUGGUUCCUACCUUCUGAUGAACCAUGAUGUCAUUAAUUUGGUGUUAUGGGGAAUCAGGACUGUUACUUUGAAAAAUUGAGUGUUUAAAGCAGGCUCACGCUUGAAUACAUUAGCAUGGAAUAAUGAAAUAGGACGUUUGAUUCUAUUUUGUUGGUUUCUAGGAUCGACGUAAUGAUUAAUAGGGAUAGUUGGGGGCAUUAGUAUUCAAUUGUCAGAGGUGAAAUUCUUGGAUUUAUGAAGACUAACUACUGCGAAA